Molecule: ribosomal RNA, 497 nt
Filed under: uncultured bacterium
Lineage: Bacteria
Description: partial 16S ribosomal RNA
Rfam family: Bacterial small subunit ribosomal RNA
Source: RNAcentral
GAUGAACGCUGGCGGCGUGCCUAAUACAUGCAAGUCGAGCGAACGGACGAGAAGCUUGCUUCUCUGAUGUUAGCGGCGGACGGGUGAGUAACACGUGGAUAACCUACCUAUAAGACUGGGAUAACUUCGGGAAACCGGAGCUAAUACCGGAUAAUAUUUUGAACCGCAUGGUUCAAAAGUGAAAGACGGUCUUGCUGUCACUUAUAGAUGGAUCCGCGCUGCAUUAGCUAGUUGGUAAGGUAACGGCUUACCAAGGCAACGAUGCAUAGCCGACCUGAGAGGGUGAUCGGCCACACUGGAACUGAGACACGGCCCAGACUCCUACGGGAGGCAGCAGUAGGGAAUCUUCCGCAAUGGGCGAAAGCCUGGCGGAGCAACGCCGCGUGAGUGAUGAAGGUCUUCGGAUCGUAAAACUCUGUUAUUAGGGAAGAACAUAUGUGUAAGUAACUGUGCACAUCUUGACGGUACCUAAUCAGAAAGCCACGGCUAACUACGUG